RNAcentral lists this ribosomal RNA (400 nucleotides) under uncultured bacterium. Its description in RNAcentral is "bacterial SSU rRNA". It matches the Rfam family "Bacterial small subunit ribosomal RNA", at positions 355 to 754 of the family's 1533-position model. The record is from RNAcentral.
UGAGGAAUAUUGGUCAAUGGGGGAAACCCUGAACCAGCGACGCCGCGUGCGGGAUGAAGGGGCUUUGCCCUGUAAACCGCUGUCGGAGGGGAAGAAAAGCCGGGUUGCCCGGCUGGGACUGUACCCUUAGAGGAAGGUUCGGCUAGCUACGUGCCAGCAGCCGCGGUAAUACGUAGGAACCAAGCGUUGUCCGGAAUUACUGGGUGUAAAGGGUGCGCAGGCGGACUUGUACGUCAGAGGUUAAAUCCCACGGCUCAACCGUGGACAUGCCUUUGAUACGGCAAGCCUUGAGUGCGGGAGAGGAUAGUGGAAUUCCUGGUGUAGCGGUGAAAUGCGUAGAUAUCAGGAGGAACACCAGUGGCGAAGGCGGCUAUCUGGCCCGCAACUGACGCUCAGGCAC